CCAUAUUAGACACAUUAUCUGGAGUCCGCAUUCACCACCGAAGCCUCUUGCCAGUGAAAAUGACUGUCACACUAUUGAAGUGAUGCCUUCUGUUGAGGAGUUGUGGAAGGUCCCGGUGCUGCUAUACUGUAAUGUAUGGUAAGAGGCUGCUCCUGUUGAGGAGUCGCAGAAGGUCCUGGUGCUAAACUGUAAUGUAUGGCCUGAGGUUGCUCCUGUUGAGGAGUAGCCGAAGGUGCUGGUGCUGCUAUACUGUAAUGUAUGGUAUGAGGUUGCUCUGGUUGAGUCAUGGAAAGUCCCGAUGCUACACUGUAAUGUAUAGCCUGAGGUCCCUCCUGUUGAAGAGUUGCUGAAGGUCCCGCUGCUAUACUGUAAUGUACAGCC
RNAcentral lists this long non-coding RNA (381 nucleotides) under Gossypium barbadense (sea-island cotton). RNAcentral's name for it is "long non-coding RNA (GBAR_LNC020477)". The record is from RNAcentral. Lineage: Eukaryota; Viridiplantae; Streptophyta; Magnoliopsida; Malvales; Malvaceae.